RNAcentral lists this transfer RNA (76 nucleotides) under Martinezella rhizogenes. RNAcentral's name for it is "Rhizobium rhizogenes tRNA-Lys". It matches the Rfam family "tRNA". Rfam says of the family: Transfer RNA (tRNA) molecules are approximately 80 nucleotides in length. Their secondary structure includes four short double-helical elements and three loops (D, anti-codon, and T loops). Lineage: Bacteria; Pseudomonadati; Pseudomonadota; Alphaproteobacteria; Hyphomicrobiales; Rhizobiaceae. RNAcentral also lists the same sequence under 47 other names. The record is from RNAcentral.
GAGAGCGUAGCUCAGCUGGUAGAGCAACUGACUUUUAAUCAGUAGGUCAUGGGUUCGAGCCCCAUCGCUCUCACCA